Molecule: ribosomal RNA, 433 nt
Filed under: uncultured bacterium
Lineage: Bacteria
Description: partial 16S ribosomal RNA
Rfam family: Bacterial small subunit ribosomal RNA
Source: RNAcentral
AACGAACGCUGGCGGCAUGCCUAACACAUGCAAGUCGAGCGAGGACUUCGGGUCUAGCGGCUGAUGGGUUAGUAACGCGUGGGGUUGUGCCCUUGUCUACGGCAUAGCCCUGGGAAACUGGGAGUAAUACCGUAUACGCCCUUUUGCGGAAAGAUUUAUUGGAGAGGGGUGAGCCGGAGUGGGAUUAGGUAGUGGGUGGGGUAAUGGCCUACCAAGCUGACGAUCCGUAGCUGGUUUGAGAGGAUGAUUAGCCACACUGGGACUGAGACACGGCCGAGACUCCUACGGGAGGCAGGAGUGGGGAAUCUUAGACAAUGGGGGCAAACCUGAUCGAGCCAUGCCGCGUGAGUGAUGAAGGCCUUAGGGUUGUAAAGCUCUUUCAGCUGGGAAGAUAAUGACGGUACCAGCAGAAGAAGCCCCGGCUAACUCCGUG